This 74-nucleotide transfer RNA is filed under the name Buchnera aphidicola (Cinara strobi). Its description in RNAcentral is "transfer RNA Aspartic acid". It matches the Rfam family "tRNA". From Rfam's summary of the family: Transfer RNA (tRNA) molecules are approximately 80 nucleotides in length. Their secondary structure includes four short double-helical elements and three loops (D, anti-codon, and T loops). Further hydrogen bonds mediate the characteristic L-shaped molecular structure. tRNAs have two regions of fundamental functional importance: the anti-codon, which is responsible for specific mRNA codon recognition, and the 3' end, to which the tRNAs corresponding amino acid is attached (by aminoacyl-tRNA synthetases). tRNAs cope with the degeneracy of the genetic code in two manners: having more than one tRNA (with a specific anti-codon) for a particular amino acid; and 'wobble' base-pairing, i.e. permitting non-standard base-pairing at the 3rd anti-codon position. The record is from RNAcentral. Lineage: Bacteria; Pseudomonadati; Pseudomonadota; Gammaproteobacteria; Enterobacterales; Erwiniaceae. RNAcentral also lists the same sequence under 2 other names.
GGUGUGGUAGUUCAGUUGGUUAGAAUAUCGGCCUGUCACGCCGGGGGUCGCGGGUUCGAGUCCCGUCCACACCG